Molecule: ribosomal RNA, 584 nt
Filed under: uncultured Bacteroidota bacterium
Lineage: Bacteria; Pseudomonadati; Bacteroidota
Description: bacterial SSU rRNA
Rfam family: Bacterial small subunit ribosomal RNA
Source: RNAcentral
AUACGCUACGGCAGGCUCAUACAGGUCAAUCGUGGGGCAGCGCAGAGUAGCAAUACUUGGGCGGCGACCGGCAAACGGUGCGGAACACGUACACAACCUUCCUACAAGUGGGGAAUAGCCCAGAGAAAUUUGGAUUAAUACCCCGUAACAUAUAGAAAUGGCAUCAUUUUUAUAUUAUAGCUUCGGCGCUUGUUGAUGGGUGUGCGGCUGAUUAGAUAGUUGGCGGGGUAACGGCCCACCAAGUCUACGAUCAGUAGCUGAUGUGAGAGCAUGAUCAGCCACACGGGCACUGAGACACGGGCCCGACUCCUACGGGAGGCAGCAGUAAGGAAUAUUGGUCAAUGGACGAAAGUCUGAACCAGCCAUGCCGCGUGAAGGAUUAAGGUCCUCUGGAUUGUAAACUUCUUUUAUCUGGGACGAAAAAAGGCGAUUCUUCGUCACUUGACGGUACCAGAUGAAUAAGCACCGGCUAACUCCGUGCCAGCAGCCGCGGUAAUACGGAGGGUGCAAGCGUUAUCCGGAUUCACUGGGUUUAAAGGGUGCGUAGGCGGGCAGUUAAGUCAGUGGUGAAAUCCUAGAGCUUA